This 30-nucleotide small RNA is filed under the name Arabidopsis thaliana (thale cress). RNAcentral's name for it is "ATSL091130". Lineage: Eukaryota; Viridiplantae; Streptophyta; Magnoliopsida; Brassicales; Brassicaceae. The record is from RNAcentral.
AUGGAGGAUUCAUAGUAGUGUAGGCUCUCU